UAUGUAGCAAUUGCUCAAGAGAGAAGGAAACAGUAUUUCCGAGCAGCCUCUGGCGCAGAGCUGAUGGUGUGUUUGCCAUGCAAGGAGCGGUAUCCCAAAGGGCUGCAUUGCUCCCCUGACACAGCUGUUCCUGCCCGUCCUGGCUUCUGGGUGGAACAGCACCACCUUCCAGCUAGAGAGAAGGAGAUCUCCCUACAGGCUGGUCACAAGAGGGGGUGCCAGAGGCUGUCACCUUCUGAGGAGAAGCAGCUGUCCCAACAAUUGUUCUACCCUGGCUUCUGCAAUGAGGUCUGGAACCACUGAGGAAGGUGAGAAGUGACAGGCGAGUGAACUAUUGUUUUUGAGUCCUCCUUGUUCAAUGACUGUGAAGAGGGAAUGAGGAUAGUUUCCUCUUCUACCCUUGAAGCUUCUGUUAGCCCUUUUUCUCACAUGUCCUCCAGAGGCCUCUAGGGAUGUGUAGGUAGGUGGCUGCAUGUGGUUUUUAUUCAUAGAUACACUGAUGGGA
RNAcentral lists this long non-coding RNA (505 nucleotides) under Rhinopithecus bieti (black snub-nosed monkey). RNAcentral's name for it is "lncRNA (ENSRBIG00000046026.1)". The record is from RNAcentral. Lineage: Eukaryota; Metazoa; Chordata; Mammalia; Primates; Cercopithecidae.